GAUGAACGCUGGCGGCGUGCCUAAUACAUGCAAGUCGAGCGAACGGACGAGAAGCUUGCUUCUCUGAUGUUAGCGGCGGACGGGUGAGUAACACGUGGAUAACCUACCUAUAAGACUGGGCUAACUUCGGGAAACCGGAGCUAAUACCGGAUAAUAUUUUGAACCGCAUGGUUCAAAAGUGAAAGACGGUCUUGCUUUCACUUAUAGAUGGAUCCGCGCUGCAUUAGCUAGUUGGUAAGGGAACGGCUUACCAAGGCAACGAUGCAUAGCCGACCUGAGAGAGGGAUCGGCCACACUGGGACAGAAUGACGGUCCAGACUGCUACGGGAGGCAGGAGUAGGGAAUCUCGCGCAAUGGGCGAAAGCCAGACGGAGCAACGCCGCGUGAGUGAUGAAGGUAUUGGGAUCGUAAAACUCUGUUAUUAGGGAAGAACAUAUGUGUAAGUAACUGUGGACAUCAUGACGGUACCUAGUCAAAAAGCCACGGCUAACUACGUG
This 497-nucleotide ribosomal RNA is filed under the name uncultured bacterium. RNAcentral describes it as "partial 16S ribosomal RNA". It matches the Rfam family "Bacterial small subunit ribosomal RNA", at positions 28 to 507 of the family's 1533-position model. The record is from RNAcentral.